GCAAACUGGAGCCAAUGGGGAUUGAGGAAAGGAAGAACAUUCUAGAGAACUUCCAGAGAAGGUGAAUGGGGGCUGGAACAUAAACUCAGCAAAGCAAUGAAGGAACAAAUUUCAUACAUUAUUAUGUAGCUGUGCAGAUCUGUGUGACAGAAGCCUUCUCUCACCUUAGGCCCUGGAGGAGCUUCCAAGAUCAGGAAAUUAUCAUACGGGUUCCAAAAAAUGUUUUGUGAGAAAAGUGUCAUUACCAACCAAACCAAUAAGAAAUGAUGGAGAUUUUGACAGAGCCAGCCUUGUAUAUUGGUUCUUUAACCACGCAUUUGAAGCAGAAUGAUCAGCAAAGGAAAACAGACUUCCUCUGGGGAACACUGUGCACUGCUUCCAAGCCAGUUCACAAGACAUGUUGGGAAGCUCCUGAUAAAAGACCUGUUUAUUCAUCUAAGUCAUCACUGACAUCUUUCUUACAAAGCACGAGAACAAUCUGUGUGACACCUUACGCACACCUCAAGAUUCAAACAUUCAGAGUUCACAGCAUCUGAACUCCCCUGAAGAAUUGCUCCUGUGAAGCCCUAUAUCUUGCCAGCACUUCAAAAUGCUGGUUUCAUCAUGAAUUACCAGUAUCUGCUCAGAUGACGUGGAUUGUUUUUCCCCUUGGAGUGUGACAACAUCUUCAUUUGAAGCACAUCAACACCGAAUUAAAAGCAGAUUCUGCCAAUAGCUAUAUGAGCAUCCCCUCCAAAUGUGAUUAUAAAUGAUCUUUAAAUGCUGUCUUCACUAAUAGUAAUUAGCUUAUACAAGUGGAGGAAUUUGUGUUCCCUUCCUGCAUUCUCUCAGGAUCUUUCAAGGUCAAAAUAUGUCAAGGCUGUGCAUUAGAGAUACCCACAAAGCAAACAAGACACAAAAACGCUCAUUAGUGGGCCUCAAAAUCAAAUUAUGAGAAAAGAACCCUUUGAACCAGUUGAAGCCAGCACAUUGCCAGAGUGAUGCUGGUAAGAGGCACAAAAGAGCAGCUGUUCAGUGGUUCCACAGAGUUUUACCAGCACAUGUUUUGGGCUUUUUUCUCAUCAUUCUGCUUUCCUCCUCUGCAACAUGUGGAUACUCCUCUGCCUCAAAAAGCAGAAUUUGAAUUCUUCAUGAGCAGUCGGCCUGAUGUGAAUGUUGUUAUUCCUAGAAGCACAAACAGCAUGAAACUACAGCAGUUAAGAAAACCUGCAACAAACCAAACACAAAAAAUUUAUACAUGGUAGUAACACAAAAGUCCAGAGAGUUCACAGAGAAGUAACUAAUUGUUUAAAGUAUUUGAGCUCUUAUUUUGGAGGAAGACUUAAAAAAAAAAAUAAAAAAUUACACUUCAAUGGAGGGCACAUUAAGCUCAGUCAACUGUGUAUGUUUUAAUAUCUACUUUCUAGACACACAUUAUAAUAAUUUUCUGAAUUUUUACAGUUCUACCUGGAUGCAUCCUGACAUUCUCAAUAGUUCUGCAACAGUUCUUAGGAUUUUGUUUCUUCCCUUAAAUGCUGAUAACCUGAUACUCUCAUAGAUCUGGGUAUUGCAAAGCCAGGAUCUCUUUCUUGAAUACUGAUAUUUAGUUUACAUGUACAAUUUUAUCUAAAACCUUAAAGUUGUUUUCCCACCUUAGGUUCUUCUACAGAUCUCUGCAAUUACAUUUUCAUCAGUCUGAAAAUUAUUGAAAUAAAAUACUAGUCAUGUUUCCUUUAAAGUUCAUAAAAGUUAGAGUUCUGACCUUUAAGGCUGUCAUUUUGUCUGUGCCUCUACUUCUGGGGUCUCCUGUGUAUUGACUCAGCUGGGGCUGCCCCUGGAUCC
Cyanistes caeruleus (blue tit) is the source of this 1821-nucleotide long non-coding RNA. RefSeq lists it as uncharacterized. NCBI's taxonomy places the organism in Eukaryota, Metazoa, Chordata, Aves, Passeriformes, Paridae. The record is from RefSeq and is a predicted model, not a curated record.